Molecule: transfer RNA, 73 nt
Filed under: Chloroflexota bacterium
Lineage: Bacteria; Bacillati; Chloroflexota
Also listed under: 1 other name
Description: Chloroflexi bacterium tRNA-Arg
Rfam family: tRNA
About the family: Transfer RNA (tRNA) molecules are approximately 80 nucleotides in length. Their secondary structure includes four short double-helical elements and three loops (D, anti-codon, and T loops).
Source: RNAcentral
GCCCUUGUAGCUCAGAGGAUAGAGCAGCGGUCUUCUAAACCGUGGGUCGGGGGUUCGAGUCCCUCCAGGGGCG